GUAUGCUAAGAGAUGGAUUUCAGGGAGCAGUUUUUUUAAAUUUAAUAAUUAAAGUUAUUUUAAUUUGUGAAGAAACAAUUAUAUAAAUUAAGGACAAGAAGACCCUAAGAAUUUAAGAAUUCUUAUGUUACUUAAAUAUAAAAUAGGAAUUCUUAGUUGGGGCAACUAAAAAACAUUAUAAACUUUUUUUCUUUAAAAUGACCCAUUAUUAAUGAUAAUAUGAUUAAAUACUCUAGGG
Molecule: ribosomal RNA, 238 nt
Filed under: Dermacentor reticulatus
Lineage: Eukaryota; Metazoa; Arthropoda; Arachnida; Ixodida; Ixodidae
Description: partial large subunit ribosomal RNA
Source: RNAcentral